Non-coding RNA from Ctenopharyngodon idella (grass carp), 553 nucleotides. Lineage: Eukaryota; Metazoa; Chordata; Actinopteri; Cypriniformes; Xenocyprididae. The record is from the annotation of a RefSeq genome assembly.
AUGAAUCAUAUUGUAUCACUGUGGUGGACUUUCGGUGGAGGAACUAAACUGGUGGUCUCUGGUCCCACAGUGAAGCCCUCAGUGUCUCUGCUGCCGCCCUCUUCUCUGCAGAUCUCUGGAGACUCAGCCGCACUGCUCUGCCUGCUCAGCUCUUACUCUCCACAGGGGGCGCUGGUGAGCUGGACACUGGACGGGUCAGAGGUCACCGAGGGGGUCGUGACCAGCGCAGAGAGCCAGCGGGACGGCCGCUACAGCCGCAGUAGCGUCCUGACCCUCAGCAAAGCACGCUGGGAAAAGGGAGAGGUGUACGUCUGCAGAGUAACACAUGAUGGAGCUCCUCAUGAGGUCUCGUUCCACAAGAGCUCUGAGUGCUGAUGUUUCUCUCCUGAAGAUGAGCCGUAUCUGAGUGUCCUGUGUCAGGCAGGAUUCACAUGAGUCUAGUGCUGCAGCUGUAGUGAUUUACAACUCAAUACUGAAAGAGAGCUGGCGUGUCAAAGCACUGUGUGAUCUUUCAAUCUGCUGUAACAUUCAAUAAAGCUUCUCAACAAGUUCA